Molecule: long non-coding RNA, 369 nt
Organism: Poecilia latipinna (sailfin molly)
Lineage: Eukaryota; Metazoa; Chordata; Actinopteri; Cyprinodontiformes; Poeciliidae
Exons: 3
Source: RefSeq, a predicted model, not a curated record
ACAGCCAUUUCCUUCACUGCAGCCAGACUGCUUCAUUCGUGUAGACUGUCCAGAGUCCACGAAUACCGCUCAGCUUUUCUUCACCCUCACCACUAAUUCAAGUGAAGACCUUACACAGUAAAGCAGCACAUCUGAAAAACAGCCACAUUCCAACAGCCUCUCCUGGUCCUGCUCAGACAUGUUGCUCCAUAGCUUUGGGCUUGAGCCACUCUCCUGCCACGCCUGGAACAAAGAUAGGACUCAAAUUGCUGUGAGUCCUAACAACAAUGUGGUGAACAUUUAUGAGAAGAAAGGCAAAGACUGGCAUAAGAUUCACGAGCUGACUGAGCACAGUGGACGCAUCACAGGUACUGUUACCACCAGGGGUGA